Molecule: long non-coding RNA, 354 nt
Filed under: Anser brachyrhynchus (Pink-footed goose)
Lineage: Eukaryota; Metazoa; Chordata; Aves; Anseriformes; Anatidae
Description: lncRNA (ENSABRG00000019714.1)
Source: RNAcentral
CAAGGAUGCUUACAGCGUUCUGUCUUGUGAGAGGGAAGUGGCUUCUCUUCACAGAUAGUUUAAAUACUUGGCCUGCUUACAUAGGCUUUCAUCUGGCAGAUUGUGGUUCAUGUGCUGAACAGCAACAGCGAUUGUUGAGGUCGAAGUACUGCACCUCUCUCACAUUUCCAGAGUACCUGGCAGAGCUGCUCGUUCACCUGGUACUUCUGCAAGAAUACAGUUGGAGCAUGUAAUGUAACGUUACCACUACUCAAGAGGUGAGGUACAAGACUUUAAAAAGGGAGCGCAGAUUACAGCCCAUCUGUUAAGGCAGAGAAUUUAUUUAAGAGAAUAAAUGCGUGAGCUGGAUGACCA